GUUCCACUGUCGACCUUGGCACUUUCUGCUCUGGAUGGUGAUAUGAAUAUAGUCGCAGGUAGAGUAGAAGUGUCGUCCUACUAACAAGUUAAAGUUACACAAGAUCGGCUACAACAGCAUCUUAAAUUUCUUUUGUUUUUUGUUUUUUUAAUCACAAGCACGACUUGCUUCUCAUUUCACUUGUCAUUGGCAGAAUCGUCGACAGUGACAUCGACACGGAUUGCCAUAAAUAAAAAUAGAAUAGAAUAGAACGAAAAAAUAUAUUUUU
This is a long non-coding RNA of Helicoverpa zea (corn earworm), 268 nucleotides long. RefSeq lists it as uncharacterized. Lineage: Eukaryota; Metazoa; Arthropoda; Insecta; Lepidoptera; Noctuidae. The record is from RefSeq and is a predicted model, not a curated record. The transcript has 4 exons.